GCAGUCAUGGCUUAAUGGUUAGGGAGUUGGUCUUGUAACCCAAAGGUGAACCUGAAGGUUGUGGGUUCGAAUCUCAGGUUUAGCA
Pangasius djambal is the source of this 85-nucleotide non-coding RNA. The record is from the annotation of a GenBank genome assembly. Lineage: Eukaryota; Metazoa; Chordata; Actinopteri; Siluriformes; Pangasiidae.